Coprinopsis sp. MPI-PUGE-AT-0042 is the source of this 72-nucleotide non-coding RNA. NCBI's taxonomy places the organism in Eukaryota, Fungi, Basidiomycota, Agaricomycetes, Agaricales, Psathyrellaceae. The record is from the annotation of a GenBank genome assembly.
UCCCUCUUAGCUCAGUGGUAGAGCGCGUCACUCGUAAUGAUGAGGUCAGUCGUUCAAAUCGGCUAGGGGGAA